UACGGGGGGAGCAAGCGUUGUUCGGAUUUACUGGGCGUAAAGGGCGCGUAGGCGGUCAGCACAAGUCAGUUGUGAAAUCUCCGGGCUUAACUCAGAAAGGGCAACUGAUACUGUGCGACUAGAGUGCGGAAGGGGCAACUGGAAUUCUCGGUGUAGCGGUGAAAUGCGUAGAUAUCGAGAGGAACACCUGCGGCGAAGGCGGGUUGCUGGGCCGACACUGACGCUGAUGCGCGAAAGCCAGGGGAGCGAACGGG
This 254-nucleotide ribosomal RNA is filed under the name uncultured bacterium. RNAcentral's name for it is "partial 16S ribosomal RNA". It matches the Rfam family "Bacterial small subunit ribosomal RNA", at positions 524 to 776 of the family's 1533-position model. The record is from RNAcentral.